RNAcentral lists this ribosomal RNA (482 nucleotides) under uncultured bacterium. Its description in RNAcentral is "partial 16S ribosomal RNA". It matches the Rfam family "Bacterial small subunit ribosomal RNA", at positions 30 to 506 of the family's 1533-position model. The record is from RNAcentral.
AUUGAACGCUGGCGGCAGGCCUAACACAUGCAAGUCGAGCGGAUGAAGGGAGCUUGCUCCUGGAUUCAGCGGCGGACGGGUGAGUAAUGCCUAGGAAUCUGCCUGGUAGUGGGGGAUAACGUCCGGAAACGGGCGCUAAUACCGCAUACGUCCUGAGGGAGAAGGGGGGGAUCUUCGGACCUCACGCUAUCAGAUGAGCCUAGGUCGGAUUAGCUAGUUGGUGGGGUAAAGGCCUACCAAGGCGACGAUCCGUAACUGGUCUGAGAGGAUGAUCAGUCACACUGGAACUGAGACACGGUCCAGACUCCGACGGGAGGCAGCAGUGGGGAAUAUUGGACAAUGGGCGAAAGCCUGAUCCAGCCAUGCCGCGUGUGUGAAGAAGGUCUUCGGAUUGUAAAGCACUUUAAGUUGGGAGGAAGGGCAGUAAGUUAAUACCUUGCUGUUUUGACGUUACCAACAGAAUAAGCACCGGCUAACUUCGU